AUUUUAGUAGAGUAGCUUUUGAAGAAAUCAGAGAAAAGUAUAAACCCUGUGCUUGCUUUGGCUUUUCCUACUCAGUCAUCAACUUGAAAUGGUGUGAUCCCCAUUCUAUUUGAACCCAAUAAAGCAAAGAAAAGCAGAGCCAAUGUUCCAAAGUAGUCGUUUUUACACUCUCCACAGCCACAGAGCAGCACAGAACUAGCUUCAAAAAAUUUUUGAAAAAAACUUUUUUUUAGCCUUUUUGUGUAACCCAACAGAGGGGAUCUCUUCAAAAUUCUGAAUUUGUCUGAGUCUCUGAAAAUCAGAAUCGCACUAUCAUUGAUUCCUUUUCUCUUUAGCAUAAAAAAUUCACAUUCCUUUAAAUCUUUUCCUGUUUUUAAGUCUAUAAUCUCUGAACCUUUUGUUUUUCUUCAAAGACUAUACGCGUACGCUCUGGUUCUUGCUUCGUACUCGUAGGCUUUCUUCGUAGUGUUCUCUUUCUUCACUGUGUUUCAACCAACUUUUCAUUUAACAAUAUUUCAAUUUGUUUUUCGUUGAAUUCCUUUUUUUUUUAAUUUUCCUUUUCUUUCCCGCCCAUUAAUCUUUUCUUCUUUUUCCCUUUUUCUAAUGUUGAAGUCAUGAAAUUUUCAUUUUUUGCUUUGAAAGGCCAGUGCUUUGUUGGUUCUAACUUUUGUGCCAUAAAUGAUGCGUAUAGUCAUAUUCACUUGCAGAAAUCGUUAAUCGCAGAUUUAGGGAGAGAUUUAAGGAGGUGAUUAUGGGUGGAAGUGGUAAAGUGGAAGUGAUCACCAGCAAGGGGUGCUCAAGAAUGUUUAUGGGAUUUUCAGCUUCAAUCCCAUCUUUUAGAGGAUUGCAAUCCUUCGAGCCAAUGUCUCCUUUCACAUCCUCAGUUGGGUCUGAACCGGUGUUGGUUCGAUCAAGCGGUCCAUUUGCUGGUCUUGUUAUAUGUGUUACAGGUCUAUCUAAAGAAGCAAGGAAGCAAGUAAUGGAAGCAACAGAGAGAUUAGGCGGUCAAUACAGCCCUAAUUUGCAUCCUCAGUGUACUCAUUUGGUGGUCCAGAUAUCCUUUAAUUGGUUUAUUGGGGGAACAUAGGUUUUAUAAUUUUAUGAUUUAAUAUGAAAAAUGGAGAAUUUAGGAAAAAAUAUGCCCUCUUGCUAUGUGCUUCCUGUGAAUGGAUUAGUACAUUGGCUGUGUAUGAGGAGAAAAUUUUGAACCAUCUUCAGUUGGAUAGAAGGGAAAUCAGAAACUUAAAACAAUGGCAAAGGAGACCAUAUUAUCUGAUUUCAUGUUUUUCCUCUUUCCUUGUUGAAUCUGUUUGAUGCUUAUUGAUAAAUGACAAGGAAGAAUUUGUCUUUUAAUCCUAGAACAUAUACUCAGUAAGAUUCUUAUUCUCACCAAUGCAAUGCUCUUAUGAUACCUUAACACUAAAUACAGCUUUGGCGGGCGCAAGUUUGAGCAUGCUUUGAAGCAUGGAUCAAAAAAUGGUCUCUUUGUUGUUGCACUUGGAUGGUUUGUGGACAGUGUCAGGAGGAAUGUGAGGUUGAGUGAAUCACUUUACAGUGUCAAGAGUGUUGGGGAAAAUGAUGUGCGGUUGGAUGACUUAAAUCGACUUGUUGGUCUCAGUGGCACUGAAAAUUCCUGUCUUCCUGUUGGUUUUAAUGAUCCUAAGAAAUUUGAAUUGACUGAAGGACUGAGUAAAAAAUCGUCUGUAAGAAGUUCUGAUAGAAGUAUUGAAGCAACUUUGUCCGGUAACUCCUUGUAUGUUGAUUCAGACAUUUCAGAUGAACUGCGGAAUAAGGUUUAUGAGGCGGCUACCAGAGAAGGUGCCACGUUUUUGGAUCGAUGGUUUGUUGGCUGCAGUGCAAGUCAUGUAGUAUGUGAAGGAGCUUCUAUCCAAAGAUAUCUUGGCCACUCUAACAACCUUGUGACUCCACUUUGGGUACUAAAAACAGCCAAGGAGAAACACGUCCAGAGGCUUGUUCAGAUGUCUGCUGGUUUGGCCAGACAGGUUGGGAUGAUCCUUGAAGAUUUUCAAAAUGGCAUUGCUGGCCAGGAAAUAAAUGGGGGAAAUGCCCCUCAAGAUGCUCAGAGUUUGAGGAGUAAAGCAAGCUAUGGAGAAAGGCAACAGAUUGUGAAUUUUGCUAAAAAUGGGGUUAGAAGUCGUCGUAGUUGUCAAAUGCAGGUUAGUGAUUAUUCCUUGUGCUGUGAGGCUUUUCUAGCAUAGUUGAUUAUUCUGGAUUUAUGAGCUUAUCUAUCUCUCUUUCGUUCUUUCUUUAGUUUUGUGCCCACAUUUGCCUUCAGUGGUUAAGACACCCAGUUUUGCUUUAUGUUUACUUUGGUCACAUCAUAAAGCGCAUUUGAUUGUAUUUGUAUUUAGGAGUUAGGACACUGGUACUUGCCAUAUUAUAAAUGUUUCUGAUUGACAUUUACUUAAGAUGGCCAUUGUCUGGUAAAAGGUUAUCUUAGCUAUUGUGUUGCUAAGUGAAGGUCUGGUGGGAAAGGCUAAGAGAGUGUGGCCUUCAGUAUUUUUGCAUGAAGUGACAGCUCAAAAGAAUUGGAACUACACUGCUAAGGGACAAUUUUCGGUGCAGUUCUAAAAAUAUAGGUAAACCAAGCACUACUGAAUGUAUUCAAGUCUUUGGAGCGGUCUUUUCAUUCAAAAUACCAUAUGAUAGGACCAUGACCAUAUGAAUCCUAUGGAUAUGGUAAUCAAAUAAUAAUUUUCGACUGAAAAUUCCCUAGACAUGGCAUGUAUUAGGGGUCCUUGCUUUCUGCAUGCCUGCUGAGUGAUUGAUAACAAAUAGCAAAUAGCAAUGCAAGCGGUGAAAUCUUGCAAAUUUGUCACUCCCUUUUAAGAGUGUAUAUUUGGGAAGGUUCAUCUGACUUAAUAUUGAACAAUGCAUUACUUGUGUUAAUGUGAACCGUGGCAAUUGUGAAUUCUGUGGGUUCUUACAGACCUGUCAAACCCCAAUUCGUCCAAUAACCCCAAGCAGCCUUCUGGAUUCAAUCUGCUGGUCAAUAUCUGAGCCAACCUCAACUGCUUCUAUUUACACAGACUCCUUGAGUUGUGAUGAUGUUAGUGAACAUCAUACCUCUGUGUUCUUUGAUGUGAAGGGGGACAACAAGGAUUCAGAAGCUUCCUUUGCAAACCUAACACGACCACUUACAGAAAGGUUCUUUCUCUCUAAUGUACUUGGAUUCUCUAAAUAGUUUGUUGUCUUACUGCAUUCUUUUCUGUGUUUCCAUGCAGUGAGAAAACUGAGUUGAUAUUUAAGAACCACUUUCUGACCGUACUGUUUCCCAUUGACCGGUUUUCCGAAAUGGGACCUUCUUCAAGAACCUUUUUCAGUGAAAAUGGUUUCACAUGUUUGCAGGUGUUAGAUCAUAUAUAUGCAUUUUAUCAGGAGAAUAUGUCGGCUUCAGAAAUAGAAGUUGCAAUUCACACUGAUUCAAGGCAUGCUGAUCGGCUCCGAUCAGUAUACUCCAGUAAAGAAACAGCCGGGCUUGGUUAUGUAAUUUUCAAACGGAUUGACUUCUUAGGAAGCCGCAAGAGUUUUGAAAUGUUAAAGCGAGUUGCUGGGGACAACAACAGUAAUGUAUAUGAACUGUUGAUUAGAGCAUAAUGUGAUCUCGUCAGGUAUGAACGAGUAGCUGGUAAAUGGCGACCCAUCAGAGAUGUUUGUUACAAAGCCGUUAGCUUGAAGACAAGAACUACACCUUCUAACAUGCUGAGUCCACAAUUUUCCAAAGAAUGGAAUGCAGGUUUCUACUUCGAACAACAUAAUUAUCUUUUCCCAUAAAUAUAUAUACAGAUAUCAUAUCCUUUCUUUAAGUGUGCAUGAGGAACGGUAAAGAAUGAAAUAUCAAUAGACUUUGUUAUUCUUUUUUACACAGGCACCCCCUCCAAAGAUUGAGGGAAAUUCCUGUACAUCAUACUAUGUAAAUUGAAUAUUUGCACGUUAAGUUUGUAACUGGGAAACUUUUGAUCCAUGAGCUUCAACAAAAGAUGAGUGAUUGAG
RNAcentral lists this unclassified non-coding RNA (4014 nucleotides) under Hevea brasiliensis (rubber tree). Lineage: Eukaryota; Viridiplantae; Streptophyta; Magnoliopsida; Malpighiales; Euphorbiaceae. The record is from RNAcentral.